CCUUCUGUCCAUGGCUCUAGACAUGUCACAAUCAUCAUCUGUCUUAUGUGAGUCCCAGUUCUUAUAGCAGAGACCACCUCGUCACUGACCCAGAGCUGCAGGGUGCAGGUGUAGCACAGUCCUGGCCAGACGUAGGGACUGUCGGCCAUCUUGGAUCUCUCUUGGACCCAUCUCUGCUGGGACGCCUGACUAAGAUGACGCUGGCAUCCACAUCACCCUGAAGAUGAUCAUGAUGACAGUGAUGCAAGUAACUGCAUGGGGUUAUCUUCCAUCAAUGCCUUUGAGAUCUCUUCCUCUGCAAAUUCUACUAAUUGCCCUGAUGUUCAAAUUUGAGUUAUAGUUAAUAGUAU
Molecule: long non-coding RNA, 350 nt
Organism: Etheostoma cragini (Arkansas darter)
Lineage: Eukaryota; Metazoa; Chordata; Actinopteri; Perciformes; Percidae
Exons: 2
Source: RefSeq, a predicted model, not a curated record